UCACGAAAACAAAAGAAAACAGUGGAACCGAAGAGGGCAGCGCGCUGCCGCUCCACACACCGCUGGCGCCGCCGACGCAGUCCGCUCCUAAUGCCCUCUUCCGCCUCCUCACUGCAGCAGCAUCCCCACCGCUCACUACCACCUCCCCCUCCGGCCCUUCCCGAUUUGUCCUCCUGCCGAACCCGUCUCCUCCGACGCCGACGUCGGCAAACACGCCGCCGUCGCCGCCCGUCCCCCAAGUUCGUGACGCCUCUCCUCCCUCGCCCUCUGAUGUAGCAGGCCCACCAAUCCCCCUCCUCGCUGUUGUCCCUCCUACCCCAUCUCCUCCGAUGCCGAUGUCGGCAAGUACGCCACCGCCGCCGUCCGCCUCCGAUUCCGCGACCCCUGUCUUGCCUUAUCCUCUGACGCAGCAGCCCAAUCGCCCACCAACUCCCCCCUCCUCCUUCCCGGCGUCUCCUCCCUCCACCCCAUCUCCUCCGACGGCGACGUUGGCAAGUACGCCGCCGGCACGUUCCAUCCCCCGAGCUCGCGACGCCACUCUUGCCUCCUUCUCUGAUGCAGAAACCCGGCCACCCACCCCCUCCUCCUGGCCGCCUCUUCAGCGACGCCGACGCCAGCUUCCCUGCCGACGCGCUCCAGGCCGUUCCCUUCGAGUACUUGCUGGUUCACUCCCGCGUCCUCCUCCAGUAAACCCUGUCUUAGAGACGGCUGGUCUGGUGUGAUGGUUGACGGCUGGUCUGGUCUGGUGAGAUGCCUCUCCUUCCCGCCCGUCCCGCCUCCCAAGUUCAAAAUUUCUGUCAAAGUUCAAAUCCGCGCGCCCAGUUCGAACUCUCUAGAAACCACUCCUACAACCCAAUAUAAAUAAGUGGGCAGGCAUAUGGGACUCACGCUGCUCAAACUACACCCCCAAGAAGUCACACAUUGGUCAGGCAAACCUUUAGAUUGAAGGGAGUGUGAGGAAGUGUGAUUCACUCCUCUUCGCCAUCUAAUCUUCUUCGUCAAGGGCAAGGCCAAGCGCUUCACCUUUCAUCUAUGGAGUGGCGUGGUAUUUCCAUGGGAGGUUUUUGUGGCCCAUGUUUCACGCAUGAUGGCCAUACAUAAAAAAAACUCAUUCUAGCUUCCCCCGUCUGAAUAUUGUAUCAGUAGCAGUUGGAAAAGUACUGAAUGAUACACAUCUUACAUAACUGACUCCAACAUCCUGAAUUAUUUAUAUCUAAUCUGAUUGCAGUUUUUAUGCAUUUCAUAGCUUAUUUCAUCUAAUCAGUGUGCAGUUUGAAUGCAUUAUUUUGUAGCCAAUUCCAACAGAACUUGCUCCAGUGGCAUGCCAAGUGCUCAUACAAGUCUAUUUAUACGUGAGCCAACAGAUAUGACAAGUUCAAGUCACUCGUCUUUGGACGAUGAAGUGACAAACGAAUCAUCUACGAUUUUUCCUUCUAAUGGCAAGCUCAUAUCAACUGAGGGCUUGGAGCGCGGAAAAAGCUCAAAAGGGCGAAAGCGUGCAUGUGAAGCAAUAAGAUAUGCUAGCCGUACACCAGAACAAAUCCAAGCAAGGCGAGAACGUGUUAGAGCACGUCGGCAAAAUUUAACACCUGCCGAGAAGGAAAAGAUUAAUGCACAAAGAAGAGAAAAAAGACAACGAAUGGCACUUGAUGAGAGGAAUGCAAGCCAACGAGCACGUAGGCAAAGUUUGACAUUAGAUGAGAGGCAAGAAAUAAAUGCACGCCAGCGAGCACGUAGGCAAAGCCUACAACCUGAAGAGCGGCAAGCACUCCUAGCUCAACGUAAUGCAAGCUACGCAUCUAAACGAGAUGCCCUCUGCAGGGAUUCUAUUGCACUACAGUGACCUACAGGUUCAUUGGUGGGACAUCCAUCAUCAAGUUCUUAUGUCUUUAGCUACCCAAGUACGCUCGCACAAACUUCUGCUACAAUUCAAGGUAAUCUAGGAAGCAUAACUGAAAUGGUGGAAUAUGAUCACAUACUUUUCACUAGCACAGGAGAAAAUGAUACUACCCAGCAGAGGGAAGUCACAUCGGUGCAAUGUCCAACAUCUACAUCAGUGGACAAUUCAUCAUCACCCCACGAUGGUUUCGUAUGUUCAGAUUCCCCAAUAGA
Triticum urartu is the source of this 2112-nucleotide non-coding RNA. NCBI's taxonomy places the organism in Eukaryota, Viridiplantae, Streptophyta, Magnoliopsida, Poales, Poaceae. The record is from RefSeq and is a predicted model, not a curated record.